Molecule: unclassified non-coding RNA, 209 nt
Filed under: Hevea brasiliensis (rubber tree)
Lineage: Eukaryota; Viridiplantae; Streptophyta; Magnoliopsida; Malpighiales; Euphorbiaceae
Source: RNAcentral
GAUUUCUUUUACUUGAAUGGGAGUCAGAUAAGGAUUUUUCCGAUCUCUUGAAAUCUUACAUAUCGUGGGAGCCUAAGACUAAGGGUUCUGACAUUUAAAGAUGCCGGGGACCAGAAAGAAGGGUCUUUUAACUCUUUGGCACCUCAUGAUUAAACAGGGGAUACCAGACCGAACUUUACCGACCCCCUAUGUGGUCGCCUUACCAGUAC